UGGGGAAUAUUGGACAAUGGGCGGAAGCCUGAUCCAGCAACGCCGCGUGAGGGAUGACGGCCUUCGGGUUGUAAACCUCUUUCGGUGGGGACGAAGCGCAAGUGACGGUACCCACUAAAGAAGCACCGGCCAACUACGUGCCAGCAGCCGCGGUAAUACGUAGGGUGCGAGCGUUGUCCGGAAUUAUUGGGCGUAAAGGGCUCGUAGGCGGUUUGUCGCGUCGGGAGUGAAAACCAGGUGCUUAACACCUGGCUUGCUUUCGAUACGGGCAGACUAGAGGUAUGCAGGGGAGAACGGAAUUCCUGGUGUAGCGGUGAAAUGCGCAGAUAUCAGGAGGAACACCGGUGGCGAAGGCGGUUCUCUGGGCAUGACCUGACGCUGAGGAGCGAAAGUGUGGGGAGCGAACAGG
This 409-nucleotide ribosomal RNA is filed under the name Bacillota bacterium. RNAcentral describes it as "Firmicutes bacterium partial 16S ribosomal RNA". It matches the Rfam family "Bacterial small subunit ribosomal RNA", at positions 355 to 776 of the family's 1533-position model. Lineage: Bacteria; Bacillati; Bacillota. RNAcentral also lists the same sequence under 1 other name. The record is from RNAcentral.